AGGCAGCAGUGGGGAAUAUUGCACAAUGGGCGCAAGCCUGAUGCAGCGACGCCGCGUGAGGGAUGAAGGCCUUCGGGUUGUAAACCUCUUUCAGCAGGGGAGAAGCCUCUUUGGGGGUGACGGUACCUGCAGAAGAAGCACCGGCUAACUACGUGCCAGCAGCCGCGGUAAUACGUAGGGUGCGAGCGUUGUCCGGAAUUAUUGGGCGUAAAGAGCUUGUAGGCGGUUUGUCGCGUCUGCUGUGAAAAUCCGGGGCUCAACCCCGGACUUGCAGUGGGUACGGGCGGACUAGAGUGUGGUAGGGGAGACUGGAAUUCCUGGUGUAGCGGUGGAAUGCGCAGAUAUCAGGAGGAACACCGAUGGCGAAGGCAGGUCUCUGGGCCAUUACUGACGCUGAGAAGCGAAAGCAUGGGGAGCAAACAGGAUUAGAUACCCUGGUAG
RNAcentral lists this ribosomal RNA (441 nucleotides) under uncultured bacterium. RNAcentral describes it as "bacterial SSU rRNA". It matches the Rfam family "Bacterial small subunit ribosomal RNA", at positions 346 to 793 of the family's 1533-position model. The record is from RNAcentral.